GUUGAUCGUUUCGGUCGAUCCGUUGGAGUUGCUCUGAUGACUCCGCGGUGUUCAUAGUUGUCUGCUUUGCCGAAUGUUUGCACCGCCUGUGCGUUCAUCGGGCUGCGCGCAUCUUCAGGGAUUCAUGACGACGAUGAUGAAGUUCUUCGCUGAAGGCGGCGUCACGGGAGCACAGCACGGCGACACUGGUGCCAAGCCGUCAACGUGGCAUUGCUUUCCGUUCGGAGUAGCC
This 232-nucleotide long non-coding RNA is filed under the name Hordeum vulgare. RNAcentral's name for it is "long non-coding RNA (HVUL_LNC017870)". Lineage: Eukaryota; Viridiplantae; Streptophyta; Magnoliopsida; Poales; Poaceae. The record is from RNAcentral.